CCUACGGGUGGCAGCAGUGGGGAAUAUUGCACAAUGGGGGAAACCCUGAUGCAGCAACGCCGCGUGAGUGAAGAAGGAUUUCGGUAUUUAAAGCCCUAUCAGCAGGGAAGAAGAAAGACGGUACCUGACUAAGAAGCGACGACUAACUACGUUCCAGCAGCCGCGGUAAUACGUAGGGGGCAAGCGUUAUCCGGUUUUACUGGGUGUAACGGGAGCGUAGACGGCUGUGCAUGUCUGAUGUGAAAGCCCGUGGCUCAACCGCGGAACUGCAUUGGAAACUGUAUAGCGUGAGUACUGGAGAGGCAGGCGGAAUUCCUAGUGUAGCGGUGAAAUGCGUAGAUAUUAGGAGGAACACCAGUGGCGAAGGCGGCCUGCUGGACAGAAACUGACGUUGAGGCUCGAAAGCGUGGGGAGCAAACAGGAUUAGAUACCCCUGUAGUC
This 441-nucleotide ribosomal RNA is filed under the name uncultured bacterium. Its description in RNAcentral is "partial 16S ribosomal RNA". It matches the Rfam family "Bacterial small subunit ribosomal RNA", at positions 338 to 795 of the family's 1533-position model. The record is from RNAcentral.